RNAcentral lists this ribosomal RNA (166 nucleotides) under Crudia oblonga. RNAcentral's name for it is "5.8S ribosomal RNA". It matches the Rfam family "5.8S ribosomal RNA". Rfam says of the family: 5.8S ribosomal RNA (5.8S rRNA) is a component of the large subunit of the eukaryotic ribosome. It is transcribed by RNA polymerase I as part of the 45S precursor that also contains 18S and 28S rRNA. The record is from RNAcentral. Lineage: Eukaryota; Viridiplantae; Streptophyta; Magnoliopsida; Fabales; Fabaceae.
AACGACUCUCGGCAACGGAUAUCUCGGCUCUCGCAUCGAUGAAGAACGUACCGAAAUGCGAUACUUGGUGUGAAUUGCAGAAUCCCGUGAACCAUCGAGUCUUUGAACGCAAGUUGCGCCCGAGGCCAUUAGGCCGAGGGCACGUCUGGCUGGGUGUCACACWACG